Molecule: ribosomal RNA, 484 nt
Filed under: uncultured bacterium
Lineage: Bacteria
Description: bacterial SSU rRNA
Rfam family: Bacterial small subunit ribosomal RNA
Source: RNAcentral
AGAGUUUGAUCAUGGCUCAGAAUCAACGCUGGCGGCGCGCUUAACACAUGCAAGUCGCACGAGAAAGGGAGCAAUCCCAAGUAAAGUGGCGUACGGGUGAGUAACACGUGGGUAAUCUACCUCUUAGUGGGGAAUAACCCUGGGAAACCGGGGCUAAUACCGCAUAAGCCUGGAAAGGGAAAGCAGCAAUGCGCUGAGAGAGGAGCCCGCGGCCGAUUAGCUAGUUGGUGAGGUAACGGCUCACCAAGGCUUCGAUCGGUAGCCGGCCUGAGAGGGCACACGGCCACACUGGCACUGAAACACGGGCCAGACUCCUACGGGAGGCAGCAGUGGGGAAUCUUGCACAAUGGGGGAAACCCUGAUGCAGCGACGCCGCGUGGGUGAUGAAGUCCUUCGGGAUGUAAAGCCCUUUCGACGGGAAAGAUCAUGACGGUACCCGGAGAAGAAGCUGCGGCUAACUACGUGCCAGCCGCCGCGGUAAUAC